UACCAAGAACAGACUUUAAAAACUGAAAACAUGGUUUAAUUUGAGAAUCUAAGUCAGCGUUCAAAAUUAUCGGAUUUGAUACGAAAACCUUGUACAUGUGAUGACCCACGAUGCCAUUUUGCACGAGGAGCUGGAGUUUAGGCUUGAGGUUGUCUUCUACAUUGUAGUUGAGGAUUUGAGGCCGCCUUUUAAUCAAUUUGGUUAUGCGGAUGCUGGGAAUGUUGUAGGACUGGAAGCAGCGGAAUACAGAUUGGAAGCUUUGGAGGUUGUUUUCAUGGAGGUGGAAGUCUCGGGAAAAUUCAAGAGCUGAUUUUAAAAAAAUCGGAUCUCGCUUAAAAGCCGAAAAAAUCUCCUCUUCACUCCACCCCAAACUCUUCAUCACUUCAAUUUUCUCCUUCCAAAUUGACUCACUCGUGUGAAUCCUCACUCUAACAGCCUCAAGAAAAACAGGAGCCUUUGGAUCAAAUCCCAGAUUCUUAAGAUCGUUCACUGCAUUGACCAUAUUAUUAUGCUUGUGCUGUACAGUUAUUGCGUCCCUAAUAAGAAAUUCAGCAACCCCAUCAAAAGGCACUCCCUCUCUAAUCAAAAAAUCAAUAUUUGGUUGCAAACAACCCUUCAAAUCACAAGUCAACAAAUGGGAAGAACGAUUAAUAGCUUCUACGACAUUCCUAUUACUACCAAGAACAGACUUUAAAAACUGAAAACAUGUUUAAUUUGAGAAUCUAAGUCAGCGUUUCAAAAUUAUCGGAUUGAUACGAAAACCUUGUACAUGUGAUGACCCACGAUGCUAUUUGACGAGCUGGAGUUUAGGCUUGAGGUUGUCUUCUACAUUGUAGUUGAGGAUUUGAGGCCGCCUUUUAAUCAAUUUGGUUAUGCGGAUGCUGGGAAUGUUGUAGGACUGGAAGCAGCGGAAUACAGAUUGGAAGCUUUGGAGGUUGUUUUCAUGGAGGUGGAAGUCUCGGGAAAACGUUUAUGCAUAAGAGAAAGCUGGCUUCUCAUUCUGGAUGCAAGCAGAAAGUUUCUUCCAGGGGGUUUUAGGUUUCUUCCAUAAAUCAUAACCAAUCGGGUCUGGUUGGGCGGGUGGGUUGGAUUCCAUAAAUCAUAA
RNAcentral lists this long non-coding RNA (1105 nucleotides) under Populus tremula. RNAcentral describes it as "long non-coding RNA (PTRE_LNC000029)". Lineage: Eukaryota; Viridiplantae; Streptophyta; Magnoliopsida; Malpighiales; Salicaceae. The record is from RNAcentral.